This 343-nucleotide long non-coding RNA is filed under the name Gossypium raimondii (Peruvian cotton). RNAcentral describes it as "long non-coding RNA (GRAI_LNC001907)". The record is from RNAcentral. Lineage: Eukaryota; Viridiplantae; Streptophyta; Magnoliopsida; Malvales; Malvaceae.
GUUAGCUUUUCUAUCUGAAUGCAUUCAAAACAAUUCGCUUUCUAGAUGAUCCUUCUAGAAGAGUGGGAUUAGAAUAGAACAAUUUUUCUAGUUACUUCGUUCUCUAUUUCUAUUUGAGAAAAUCCUUAGGAAAAGCAUUUUGUUUCCGCCGAGCUAAAACAAGAUGUAAAUGUCUCUAGUAAACCAAAGUUAUCGUUUAAUAGCUAUUUUGCUUCAAUCUAUCCCAUAAAAAAAGUGAAGAUUUAGUUACGAUUAGAAAUACACUUUUCUAUCUUUAUCCAUGGAUCUUUUCCUCAUACUUAUUCAAUUGGAAGUAUUGAUCCAAUUGAAAAAAUUAUGUUUC